AAAUUGAUUAAUUCAUUUCCUUAUGCAUAUAUUUGUGGACCAAUCAAUUUCUUUAUGUUUAUGAUUAUGCGCUUAUGCAAAAGUGUGUGCUCCUCGCUUAAAUGUUAUUCAUGUUGCUAUGUAUCAAAUUAAAUCAAUAAAUGAGAUGAAUAAAAUUAGUUGGUGAAUGAAUGAAAUAAAGUUGGUAGCGCUGAAGUUGAUAGUAUUGAAGUUGUCGCUGUACGCCACAGCACCCCUCACCCAGCGACGUUCUACGUUGCGAAUUUAACUUUCUUCUUAGGGCCAGAAUAAGUUUUAAGUUGUUUACCCGAAGAAGUCGAAGUAGAUGAAUCAGAAGGAGUAGAAGGUGUCGUAAACGCCAAAGUGUCGGUGUCUAUUUCUUUUGGAAGGAAGGCUGGUUUAAGACGUUUGGUAGUGAUAUUUACAGUUUUACCUGAAAUAUCAAUCGUGAAAAGAUAAUCAUUAAUUCUUUCAACAACACGAAAAGUACCAGAAUAAGGAGGUUGAAGAGAUUAUCUAACAGUAUCAUCUCUAAUCUAAACGAUCAGAAGAAAGAUCUUCUUCAAUGAAAAAUUCUCCAGGAAUUCUUAGUGUUGAUCCAUAAAGCAUUUCCGCUGGAGAUGCAUUUAAAUCUUCUUUGAAGCAAGUGCGAAGUCCAAGUAGAACGAAUGCCAUUGGAAGCUGGAUGAUAAGCUGAAGUUCUUAUUCGCUCGCAACCUAUAAGGUUGGUGAGAGCUUUAAAUAAUGCAGCUUCAAACUGAGGUUCAAACCUUGAUCGGUUGUAAUUAUUUGGGGGGCACCAUAUCUCGCAACUCAAUAUGCAUAGAAAGCAGAGGAAACAGUUUCCGCAGAGAUUUCUGUUAAAGGAAUUGCCUCGGACCAUCUGGAAAAUCUGUCAAUCAUGAUUAAACAAUAACGAAAAUUUUGACAAAUAGGAAGAGGCUCAAUCAAAUGAAGAUGAAUAUGUUGAAAACGUUGAUCUGGAACAGCAAUUUUCCGUGGAAGAUUUUUAGUGUGUUUCUGAACUUUAGCACGUAGACAAGGUAGAACGACCACUUGGGUGAGAUAAAUCAUGAACAACAUCAAAUAUUCUUCUACGAAGUUGUUGAGAGAAACUAUCAUUGGCAUCGAAACGGAUUCGAUUCUUGAAAGGGAAUCUGCAACUACAUUUUGUUUGCCAGAAAUAUGCUCGAAAUUUGAGUCGAAAAUUGAGCAAUAAAAUCAAAAUGUCGAAUCUUUCUGGGAGAUGCUUUAUCUAAUUUCUGUCGAAAAGCAUAAAUUAGAGGUUUAUGAUCUGUCCUUCAAGCAUAUAUCUAAAAUGUUUAAUGUUUGUGGCUAGAUAAAUGCCAAGAAGUUUUCGAUCAUGCACCUACUGCAAAAUCUGAUGCGUCACAAGUAAGGAUGAGAGAUACAUUCGGAGCAGGAUGUGCUAAAGUGGAAACCCGUUUAAAAGUUCAUUCUUACAAUUUUUGAAGGCUUCAUCCGCUUCAGGAGUCCAG
This is a long non-coding RNA of Cataglyphis hispanica, 1499 nucleotides long. RefSeq lists it as uncharacterized. NCBI's taxonomy places the organism in Eukaryota, Metazoa, Arthropoda, Insecta, Hymenoptera, Formicidae. The transcript has 6 exons. The record is from RefSeq and is a predicted model, not a curated record.